AUGCGAUACGUAGUGUGAAUUGCAGAAUUCCGCGAAUCAUCGAGUCUUUGAACGCAAGUUGCGCCCGAGGACUUGUUCCAAGGGCAUGUCUGCCUGAGCGUC
Molecule: ribosomal RNA, 102 nt
Filed under: Anthoceros agrestis
Lineage: Eukaryota; Viridiplantae; Streptophyta; Anthocerotopsida; Anthocerotales; Anthocerotaceae
Description: partial 5.8S ribosomal RNA
Rfam family: 5.8S ribosomal RNA
About the family: 5.8S ribosomal RNA (5.8S rRNA) is a component of the large subunit of the eukaryotic ribosome. It is transcribed by RNA polymerase I as part of the 45S precursor that also contains 18S and 28S rRNA.
Source: RNAcentral